CGAGAGGUUAUUAUUGUUUAACAUCAUGAUGAAAUGUUUGUAUCAUGUAGUUUUUUUCUUAUCAUGGCAAUUCGGUCCACAUCAGUCCUAUUCAUCAGCUGUAAGCUCCUUAGAGAUAUGGCACCAGGAGGCCGACGUUAGAGACUUCCUUUCAGGCACACGAGUACAUUGCAUGAGGAUGAUCCAACAUCCUUGAGACCAGUGGAGCCCGUCAGUUCUGAUGCGGCGGCACCAUUUUCUGAGCGAUCGGCACCUCGGCUAGACAUGGAUACCAUUUAUGCGACUGAUACGCAGACUCUGCUUUCAGCAUCUACGUCCACGAUCAGGUCAGGUUGUGGUGCAGCGAAGAACAUGUCGCUGAAGAAACACAUGGAUAGGACAAAACAGCAGAUUCAGAUCGACAUUCCUCUAGGAUACACCACUCCGCUGAACAUUAGGUGCACCGCAUGGAUGAGGGAGCUCGACAGUAUAUGCCGACAGUAUGCUCCUGUCAUCGCAUUCAACUGGCCGAAGGUGACUCAGUAGCAGCGCAUGGUUCUUUACAUGCGCAUUUUGGCCAUAUAUGAAACAAAUGUUGUGAACCGCAGCAAACUCCCUACGACGCAUUGCGGUGGAUCGAGACUAUUCAUAAAUCAUUGCCAGCAUGAUCCCGAGACUGGUGUAGAGGAGCCGCUUUCAGAUCUUUAUUAGAGAACACACCAAUGGCAAUCGAGGGAGUGGUGCGAGGGUACGAAAGACAAACAUGCACGAAUGGUCGAGCUGAGGGAUGCACCUGUUUCAGAGGGGAGUCAGCACAUGACAGAUUUCAAGAUCACUUCUAAAUGCUUGGCCAACGAGUGGGGGGAUGGGUGAAAGGUCUUGGAAGUGGAUACAUCGCCUCAACAACAUCAUCAUCCAUGGGUACGGCGGCUCAUGCAGAGAUGGAAUGACAGCGUCGAGAGGCCGAGUAUGAUAAGCAGGAGAUGGUUUGACGAAUGCAGAUGAUGGAAAUGGAAAACACACAAUUGAGAGACAAGGUCUCCAGCUUUCAAGUUCAGAUGCAAGCCAUGAUGGAUAGGCAAACGCGGUUCGAGGAAAUGAUGCACUAAUCUCGAUCAGAUGAUGCGGGUGGCUCCUUUGAUUAGAAGAAAGUUUCAUCAGUGUUGCACUUUUUGGAUGCAUCAUCCUUGUGAAAAUUCCAUUGUUUUCGAUGCGACUUCCUUUUGAACGGACCGUCAUUUUGGAUAUGUGCUUCUAAAUGCAUCCUCCUUAU
This is a long non-coding RNA of Malania oleifera, 1252 nucleotides long. RefSeq lists it as uncharacterized. The record is from RefSeq and is a predicted model, not a curated record. The transcript is spliced from 7 exons. NCBI's taxonomy places the organism in Eukaryota, Viridiplantae, Streptophyta, Magnoliopsida, Santalales, Ximeniaceae.